UAAUGGUCUCAGCUCCAAGACCAAGACCUUCAACUUUCACCCCCUCGGAACAAUGGCUCCUAAUGACAGCCACAUUACUCAUCUGUGGAUUCUUGGGCUAUGUAGUUUACGAUGCGGUCAUGGCCACAGCAUCUGAGAUGCUGCAAAGGGUCGGAGCCUGGUGCCAUCCAUAGAGCUGGAGGCUCACCUUGGGGUGUAGCUUUUGUGCUGUUGCUUCUUGUCUUCCUCAUUUCUUACCAGCCUUCCUUGCACGGCCUCAUCUUCUAGUUUAACAGCACUCCUGUCCAAGCAAUAGCAUAGUUAAGCAUGCUUCGAGGGUGGGUGCAGAAUUUAUGCAAGCUGGCUUCUACUAGAUAUGGUGUAACUUUUAACCUACUUGAUGAAGUCAAAAUGCCCUCUUGUUAUUUUCAUAUUAGCAUAACAGGUUCAUGAUCUUUCGCCCUCUUAGCUACUUUCUUCUUGCAGGGCAUGUUGUUAAGAAACUACUGCAAUCUAUGCUGAAAAUGUUAGAGGGUCUUCCAUUUCAUAA
Populus trichocarpa (black cottonwood) is the source of this 529-nucleotide long non-coding RNA. RefSeq lists it as uncharacterized. Lineage: Eukaryota; Viridiplantae; Streptophyta; Magnoliopsida; Malpighiales; Salicaceae. The transcript has 2 exons. The record is from RefSeq and is a predicted model, not a curated record.